Molecule: ribosomal RNA, 250 nt
Filed under: Thraustochytrium sp.
Lineage: Eukaryota; Bigyra; Thraustochytrida; Thraustochytriidae
Description: partial small subunit ribosomal RNA
Rfam family: Eukaryotic small subunit ribosomal RNA
Source: RNAcentral
UAGUACGUGUUAUGGUAACAUAGUAUGAGACUUCUUAGAGGGACAUUUCGGGUUGACCGAAAGGAAGUUUGUGGCAAUAACAGGUCUGUGAUGCCCUUAGAUGUUCUGGGCCGCACGCGCGCUACACUGACGACUUCAACAAGUUUUUUGGCCUUGCCAAAUUUCCUUGGUCGGAAGGCCUGGGUAAUCUUGUAAAUGUCCAUCGUGAUGGGGCUAGAUUUUUGCAAUUCUGAAUCUCCAACGAGGAACC